Molecule: long non-coding RNA, 270 nt
Filed under: Cricetulus griseus (Chinese hamster)
Lineage: Eukaryota; Metazoa; Chordata; Mammalia; Rodentia; Cricetidae
Description: lncRNA (ENSCGRG00015037223.1)
Source: RNAcentral
CUAAGGCUGGGAAAGGGGGAAUGCAUGAGCAUGUUGGGAACAAGGCAUCAGAGCUGGGAGGACAGUUGUACAUUGUGUGGGAGAUUGGCAAGCCCCUCCAAAUGUCUGUCUUGACUCCUGCUGAAUGGGCUUGCACACAGAAACUGGGUCCUGAGCUCUGCUCUGCCUUGUGAUGUAAGGGACAGGCAUAUGCCAGCCUAGACCUCGGCCCUUGCCGGAUUGGAGUCCAAGGUGUGCAUAUCCAUCCAGAUGUGGUGCGUGACCUCAGGG